CGUAAGGUGACCUGCGGAAGGAUCAUUG
This 28-nucleotide ribosomal RNA is filed under the name Dendrobium acinaciforme. Its description in RNAcentral is "partial 18S ribosomal RNA". The record is from RNAcentral. Lineage: Eukaryota; Viridiplantae; Streptophyta; Magnoliopsida; Asparagales; Orchidaceae.